Molecule: ribosomal RNA, 342 nt
Filed under: uncultured archaeon
Lineage: Archaea
Description: bacterial SSU rRNA
Rfam family: Archaeal small subunit ribosomal RNA
Source: RNAcentral
CGCUCCGGCGCCAGAGGCUGUGGCUGCGGCCGAUUAGGUAGACGGUGGGGUAACGGCCCACCGUGCCCAUAAUCGGUACGGGUUGUGAGAGCAAGAGCCCGGAGACGGUAUCUGAGACAAGAUACCGGGCCCUACGGGGCGCAGCAGGCGCGAAACCUUUACACUGCACGCGAGUGCGAUAAGGGGACUCCAGGUGCGAGGGCAUAUAGUCCUCGCUUUUCUCGACCGUAAGGUGGUCGGGGAAUAAGUGCUGGGCAAGACCGGUGCCAGCCGCCGCGGUAAUACCGGCAGCACGAGUGAUGACCGCUAUUAUUGGGCCUAAAGCGUCCGUAGCUACUUUCC